Molecule: ribosomal RNA, 339 nt
Filed under: Triticum aestivum (bread wheat)
Lineage: Eukaryota; Viridiplantae; Streptophyta; Magnoliopsida; Poales; Poaceae
Description: partial small subunit ribosomal RNA
Source: RNAcentral
AUGGAACUGGAUGACGACCCGGAUGAACCGGAAGUUGAGGAGGACAUGGAGGGCAGCCAAGCUGACGAUGUAGAGGUAAUUAUCCUUUCCUCUGGUUCAGACUCUCUGCCAACACAAAAAAUCCGUCAAGCGAUCCAGAAAGUAAGCUUUUCACAUCCUCUUGAUCACUUGGAUCCAACAUUUAUUUUGAAGAAGAAGCAGCAUGAGGCUCGCCGCAUAACCCGGCACAGCGGCCAAAAGGUUACUUCGACCGGUUUACCGGACACCCCGGUUCGGAAACGCCGAUUUGAGGUCUCACCUGCUUCUGACACUUCUUAUCCCAAGGCAGGCUAUUUCUGA